AUAUCAAUAAGCGGAGGAAAAGAAACCAACAGGGAUUGCCUUAGUAACGGCGAGUGAAGCGGCAACAGCUCAAAUUUGAAAUCUGGCGUCUUUGGCGUCCGAGUUGUAAUUUGCAGAGGAUGCUUCGGCGUUGGCGCCGCCCAAAGUUCCUUGGAACGGGACGUCGCAGAGGGUGAGAGCCCCGUGUUCGGGCGGAUGCCUUCGCCGUGUGAAGCUCCUUCGACGAGUCGAGUUGUUUGGGAAUGCAGCUCAAAACGGGAGGUAAAUUUCUUCCAAAGCUAAAUACCGGCCGGAGACCGAUAGUGCACAAGUAGAGUGAUCGAAAGAUGAAAAGCACUUUGGAAAGAGAGUCAAACAGCGCGUGAAAUUGUUAAAAGGGAAGCGCUUGCGGUCAGAACUUGGCCGCCGUUGCUCGGGGAGGUCUUGCGCCUCCCUCGCUCUUCGGCGGCUGGGCCAGCAUCGGUUCGGGCGGCUCGAGAAAGGUCGCGGGAAUGUAGCUCCCUCCGGGGAGUGUUAUAGCCCGCGGCGCAAUAGGGCCCGCCUGGACCGAGGUCUGCGCAUUUGCUCGGAUGCUGGCGUAAUGGCCCCAAGCGGCCCGUCUUGAAACACGGACCAAGGAGUCUAACAUUCGUGCGAGUGUUCGGGUGUCAAACCCGUGCGCGCAAUGAAAGUGAACGUAGGUGGGAACCCCUCGUGGGCGCACCAUCGACCGAUCCUGAUGUCUUCGGAUGGAUUUGAGUAUGAGCACGUAUGUUGGGACCCGAAAGAUGGUGAACUAUGCCUAAGCAGGGCGAAGCCAGAGGAAACUCUGGUGGAGGCUCGCAGCGGUUCUGACGUGCAAAUCGAUCGUCAAAUUUGGGUAUAG
This 865-nucleotide ribosomal RNA is filed under the name Muyocopron laterale. Its description in RNAcentral is "partial 28S ribosomal RNA". It matches the Rfam family "Eukaryotic large subunit ribosomal RNA", at positions 40 to 920 of the family's 3401-position model. The record is from RNAcentral. Lineage: Eukaryota; Fungi; Ascomycota; Dothideomycetes; Muyocopronales; Muyocopronaceae.